RNAcentral lists this ribosomal RNA (526 nucleotides) under uncultured bacterium. RNAcentral's name for it is "bacterial SSU rRNA". It matches the Rfam family "Bacterial small subunit ribosomal RNA", at positions 403 to 929 of the family's 1533-position model. The record is from RNAcentral.
GCAGGAUGACGGCCUUAUGGGUUGUAAACUGCUUUUGUAAGGGAAGAAUAAGAGCUACGAGUAGUUUGAUGACGGUACCUUACGAAUAAGCAUCGGCUAACUCCGUGCCAGCAGCCGCGGUAAUACGGAGGAUGCGAGCGUUAUCCGGAAUCAUUGGGUUUAAAGGGUCCGUAGGCGGGCUAAUAAGUCAGGGGUGAAAUCGUUCAGCUCAACUGAGCAACUGCCUUUGAAACUGUUAGUCUUGAAUAGUUGUGAAGUAGUUGGAAUGUGUAGUGUAGCGGUGAAAUGCUUAGAGAUUACACAGAACACCGAUAGCGAAGGCAUAUUACUAACAAUUGAUUGACGCUGAUGGACGAAAGCGUGGGGAGCGAACAGGAUUAGAUACCCUGGUAGUCCACGCUGUAAACGAUGGAUACUAGCUGUUUGGACGCGAGUUUGAGUGGCUAAGCGAAAGUGAUAAGUAUCCCACCUGGGGAGUACGUUCGCAAGAAUGAAACUCAAAGGAAUUGACGGGGGCCCGCACAAG